UACGUACCGUCCAACCGUUAUUCGGAAUUACUGGGCUUAAAGGGUACGUAGGCGGCGCUGUUAGUCGGGUGUGAAAUCCCUCGGCUCAACCGAGGAAUUGCGCCCGAUACUGCAGUGCUUGAGGGAGACAGAGGUAAGCGGAACUGAUGGUGGAGCGGUGAAAUGCGUUGAUAUCAUCAGGAACACCAGUGGCGAAAGCGGCUUACUGGGUCUCUUCUGACGCUGAGGUACGAAAGCUAGGGGAGCGAAGGGG
Molecule: ribosomal RNA, 253 nt
Filed under: uncultured bacterium
Lineage: Bacteria
Description: partial 16S ribosomal RNA
Rfam family: Bacterial small subunit ribosomal RNA
Source: RNAcentral